GCCGCCAUGGUGAAAUUGGUAGACACGCUGCUCUU
RNAcentral lists this transfer RNA (35 nucleotides) under Atractantha radiata. Its description in RNAcentral is "partial tRNA-Leu". RNAcentral also lists the same sequence under 8 other names. Lineage: Eukaryota; Viridiplantae; Streptophyta; Magnoliopsida; Poales; Poaceae. The record is from RNAcentral.